This 903-nucleotide unclassified non-coding RNA is filed under the name Hevea brasiliensis (rubber tree). The record is from RNAcentral. Lineage: Eukaryota; Viridiplantae; Streptophyta; Magnoliopsida; Malpighiales; Euphorbiaceae.
UUGAGUUGAGUUGAGUUAAGUUGUGAUGCAACAGCUGUACCACAGCUGGAAAAAUGUUAUCCUCUUUGGAAACCAAAGGCAAAAAUUUUGGUCUAAGAAUAAGUGUACUUGGUAGCUAGCAUAUUUGAUUUUUAGGGAUUGUUAAAUUCAUAAGUUAUUAUUGGGUUAGAAUCUUUCUAGUUAGAUCCUAAACCUAGUACGAGUAGGAUUAGUUAUAAGCAUAUAAAUAUCUCUUUGAUUUGGUUAUUUUCUUAUGCUUUCAUUAUUGAAAUUACAAUAAGUAUUUUCUUAUGCUAUUUAGCAGGAUACUCCAUUUAUCUUUCUGUUUUUCUGAUUUGAUAUCCUAUUUUCUUCUCUUUUACUCUGUCCUACAUAGCUUUGACAAUGUGGGGCUAAAAUAUCAGUAUACCCAAGCAACAGCAUAAAUGGAUUAGAUCAUUUGCAGGAAGAUAGUGACCAGAACAAGGAUAAACCUAGAAAACAAGAGCUAGCACCAUUAAGUGAGAGAACAAACAACAUUAUUAUUACAGCAAAUAAAUAAAUUCAAAAUGGCAAUAACUAAGAAAACUAGUAAUGACGUAAAAAGAAAACCCAAAAUCCUGAAUGAGGAGUUCAAACGACAUUUUGUGAUGUGGGGAUUUGUCAAAUCUGCAAUGAAAAAACAGGAAUACAAUUUAAAAAACAUUUCUUUAGGAAGGAGACCACUAGACUUGAAUAUUAUAGCAGACUAAUAGCAAAGAGUCGAUUGAAAAUAAAAUGUAGACUUGAAGAUUAUAGCUUUAAUCUUUCCAGUUAUUCUUUGAAUUUAUAGAGAAGGAAUAGGGAAGCGUUUUUAGUAUAACAAGUAAUUUAACAGAAUUAUGAUAAAAAGAUCACAAAAUGCACAAUUAAAAUUUAUUUGGA